Molecule: long non-coding RNA, 1005 nt
Filed under: Homo sapiens (human)
Lineage: Eukaryota; Metazoa; Chordata; Mammalia; Primates; Hominidae
Description: HSALNT0164492
Source: RNAcentral
UUCUUCUCUGAUUGCCUCUUGAUCCACUGCGCCCGGCCGUCUUCAUUUUUUAAAACUGACAUCUUUUGUUGCACAGAACCCUUUCAUUUUUUUAUGCAGUUGAAUAUUUGAAUCUUUUUCUUUCAAGGCUUGUGAUUUUUGUGUUUUGUUUAAGAAAUGUUCCUCUACACCAAGGUCAUAACAUUUUCUCAUAUUCAUUCCUCCUUUAAAUUUGUUAAUACGAUCAAUCUGGAUUAUGUCGAGAGGGAAGGGGAAGUCUGAUCUGUCCCUUUAGAGGUGACUUUGCAUAUCUCACCAGGAUUCUUUGGUGUUGACUUCAUGGCUUAACUCUGUAGAUAGUCCUGUUCUCCUUAUUUACAGGUUGCAAGGAAAGCUUUAUUGAAAUGUCCAAAUCUUAGGCAGAUUUUUAUUUAAUGGACCUGUGGCAGGGCCCAAGAACCUGCAUUUUUAUUUGCAACCCAGGUGAUUUUGAUGAAAGAGGUUUCCUUUUAAAUUAUUGAUAGUGCUGAAGCCAUCUUCUCAGGUGUCCAGCAACUUGGAAAUGAACCUACUCUUUGUUGGCUGGUGAUUGAGCCUUGCUCUGCCUUGGUUCCUCUUUGGUAAAAGUGGAUGGCCAAAGUCCCUCCUGGGAGAUGGGGAGUCCCAUGAUGAGUGGGAUGACUCUCACAUAUAAAAGUUUAGCCCGCCUUGCAUUUGUCAGACACUCAGUAAACAGUGGACCUUCCUUAACUCCUGAGGUCCCAAGCUCAGGGUUGAGCCUGCCCUGCCUCCCUUCUAGACCAUCUCCCACCAUGCACCCAACUUGGGCAAGUCCCAUAACCCCUCACAGCCUCAAUGCCAUCAUCUGUAAAUUCAUUAAUUUGCUGGCUGGGCACAGUGGCUCACAUCUAUAAACCUAGCACUUUGGGAGUCUGAGGCUGGAGGAUUGCUUGAGCCCAAGGGUUUGAGACCAGCCUGGGCAACAUAGUGAGACGCUAUCUCUACAAAAAACUUUUAAAAAUUAGC